AAUAUAUCCUCAGACACCAUGCCUACCUCCCCAAGGGCGUCAAAAGCUUCCACUUUGACCUUCACACUCAUGUCUCUUACCACUUAACAAAGCUGCAAACACAAGUGCAGGAGAUAUCACGGUAACAAUAUCAAUAAUGUAGUGAAUUUAGCAUCUAAUGAUCACCGAUGCUACAUUGCAACAAGGUGACAAGAAUUGGACACCCUACCAUAUGGUCCAUAUUCUUGUUGCGGGAAUGAAAUCGAUGAUUUCUUUUGAAGAUUUCCUAGACAAGGCGGCCAAUUACGUUUUCAAAUUCCUCCGACAUUUCAAAAAAUUGGGGCAUAUGACAAAAACUGAGAGAUUG
Molecule: long non-coding RNA, 346 nt
Filed under: Actinidia chinensis (golden kiwifruit)
Lineage: Eukaryota; Viridiplantae; Streptophyta; Magnoliopsida; Ericales; Actinidiaceae
Description: long non-coding RNA (ACHI_LNC003729)
Source: RNAcentral